Molecule: small nucleolar RNA, 143 nt
Filed under: Mus musculus (house mouse)
Lineage: Eukaryota; Metazoa; Chordata; Mammalia; Rodentia; Muridae
Description: Small nucleolar RNA SNORA48
Rfam family: Small nucleolar RNA SNORA48
About the family: The snoRNA ACA 48 has been identified to guide pseudouridylation of the residue U3797 in the 28S rRNA subunit. Its host gene EIF4A1 (eukaryotic translation initiation factor 4A1) is shared with U67 and snoRNA mgU6-77
Source: Rfam by way of RNAcentral
UACCCGCUGGCGAUGGGCAGAGACACCUUGGUGGUGGUGGUGUUCCUAUAUCAGUCAGGGACAGAGCAGUUGACAGUCUUCUGCUCAUCCUAGCUUGAUGCAUAGUUUAGUGGCCAAAGCUGUCUUAUGCCUAGGACACAUAA